UCCUACGGGAGGCAGCAGUGGGGAAUAUUGGACAAUGGGCGAAAGCCUGAUCCAGCCACGCCGCGUGUGUGAAGAAGGCCUUCGGGUUGUAAAGCACUUUCAGUGAGGAAGAAAGCCUUGAGGUUAAUACCCUCGAGGGAGGACAUCACUCACAGAAGAAGCACCGGCUAACUCCGUGCCAGCAGCCGCGGUAAUACGGAGGGUGCGAGCGUUAAUCGGAAUUACUGGGCGUAAAGCGCGCGUAGGCGGCUUGAUAAGCCGGUUGUGAAAGCCCCGGGCUCAACCUGGGAACGGCAUCCGGAACUGUCAGGCUAGAGUGCAGGAGAGGAAGGUAGAAUUCCCGGUGUAGCGGUGAAAUGCGUAGAGAUCGGGAGGAAUACCAGUGGCGAAGGCGGCCUUCUGGACUGACACUGACGCUGAGGUGCGAAAGCGUGGGUAGCAAACAGGAUUAGAUACCCUGGUAGUCCACGCCGUAAACGAUGUCGACUAGCCGUUGGGCUCCUUGAGAGCUUUGUGGCGCAGUUAACGCGAUAAGUCGACCGCCUGGGGAGUACGGCCGCAAGGUUAAAACUCAAAUGAAUUGACGG
Molecule: ribosomal RNA, 587 nt
Filed under: uncultured bacterium
Lineage: Bacteria
Description: bacterial SSU rRNA
Rfam family: Bacterial small subunit ribosomal RNA
Source: RNAcentral